Molecule: long non-coding RNA, 285 nt
Filed under: Elaeis guineensis (African oil palm)
Lineage: Eukaryota; Viridiplantae; Streptophyta; Magnoliopsida; Arecales; Arecaceae
Description: long non-coding RNA (EGUI_LNC044095)
Source: RNAcentral
GUAUGAAGCUCUCACUGAUGCUGAACAACCACACAGAUCGUUCGACCUCUACAGAUUGUCCUCUCAAAGUGCUGAUCAGAUCUUCCUUCGUAGGAGUGCUAGCUCGUGUUGAAGGCUCUAGAUGGCUGAUCCAAGUUCCUUUCUUCAGAUCUCUUAGACUCUUCCAGAUCAAAAGAUGAAGCUUUAUGAGAAAGUAGUGGUGUGGAAGAUUAGACAAGACUCACUCUUAUAUUUUCUUCUCACAAAAUCUAGAGUUGAAACCCUGGAACCCACAGCUCAUGCCCG